UUGUAGCUCCAUUGGUAGAGCAUGAGACUCUUAAUCUCAGGGUCAUGGGUUUAAGACUUAGGCUGGGCAAAA
This is a non-coding RNA of Podarcis lilfordi (Lilford's wall lizard), 72 nucleotides long. The record is from the annotation of a GenBank genome assembly. NCBI's taxonomy places the organism in Eukaryota, Metazoa, Chordata, Lepidosauria, Squamata, Lacertidae.